Molecule: unclassified non-coding RNA, 499 nt
Filed under: uncultured Glomus
Lineage: Eukaryota; Fungi; Glomeromycota; Glomeromycetes; Glomerales; Glomeraceae
Description: SSU rRNA
Rfam family: Eukaryotic small subunit ribosomal RNA
Source: RNAcentral
CCAAUAGCGUAUAUUAAAGUUGCUGCAGUUAAAAAGCUCGUAGUUGAAUUUCGGGACUAAUAUGUCGGUCGUGCCUCGGUACGUACUGGUAUUUUUGGUUUCUCCCUUCUGACGAACCUUGAUGUCAUUAAUUUGGUGUCUUGGGAAAUCAGGACUGUUACUUUGAAAAAAUUAGAGUGUUUAAAGCAGGCUCACGCUUGAAUACAUUAGCAUGGAAUAAUGAAAUAGGACGUUUGAUUCUAUUUUGUUGGUUUCUAAGAUCGACGUAAUGAUUAAUAGGGAUAGUUGGGGGAAUUAGUAAUCAAUUGUCAGAGGUGAAAUUCUUGGAUUUAUUGAAGACUAACUACUGCGAAAGCAUUUGCCAAGGAUGUUUUCAUUAAUCAAGAACGAAAGUUAGGGGAUCGAAGACGAUCAGAUACCGUCGUAGUCUUAACCAUAAACUAUGCCGACUAGGGAUCGGAUGAUGUUAAUUUUUUAAUGACUCAUUCGGCGCCUUACG